This 253-nucleotide ribosomal RNA is filed under the name uncultured bacterium. Its description in RNAcentral is "partial 16S ribosomal RNA". It matches the Rfam family "Bacterial small subunit ribosomal RNA", at positions 524 to 776 of the family's 1533-position model. The record is from RNAcentral.
UACGGAGGAUCCAAGCGUUAUCCGGAUUUAUUGGGUUUAAAGGGUGCGUAGGCGGCUUAUUAAGUCAGGGGUGAAAGACGGUAGCUUAACUAUCGCAGUGCCUUUGAUACUGAUGAGCUUGAAUGUAGUUGAGGUAGGCGGAAUGUGACAGGUAGCGGUGAAAUGCAUAGAUAUGUCACAGAACACCAAUUGCGAAGGCAGCUUACUAAAGUAUGAUUGACGCUGAGGCACGAAAGCGUGGGGAUCAAACAGG